AGAGUUUGAUCCUGGCUCAGAGCGAACGCUGGCGGCGUGCCUAACACAUGCAAGUCGAACGUGAAAUGUAGCAAUACAGAGUAAAGUGGCGUACGGGUGAGUAACACGUAGGUAAUCUACCUGAGUGUCUGGAAUAACCUGCCGAAAGGCGGGCUAAUACUGGAUAGAGCGACGGGAUCCGUAAUUGGGUCUUUCGGGAA
RNAcentral lists this ribosomal RNA (200 nucleotides) under uncultured bacterium. RNAcentral's name for it is "partial 16S ribosomal RNA". It matches the Rfam family "Bacterial small subunit ribosomal RNA", at positions 8 to 204 of the family's 1533-position model. The record is from RNAcentral.